UACGAAGGGGGCUAGCGUUGUUCGGAUUUACUGGGCGUAAAGCGCACGUAGGCGGAUCGUUAAGUCGGGGGGUGAAAUCCUGGAGCUCAACUCCAGAACUGCCUUCGAUACUGGCGAUCUCGAGUCCGGAAGAGGUGAGUGGAACUCCUAGUGUAGAGGUGGAAUUCGUAGAUAUUAGGAAGAACACCAGUGGCGAAGGCGGCUCACUGGUCCGGGUACUGACGCUGAGGUGCGAAAGCGUGGGGAGCAAACAGG
Molecule: ribosomal RNA, 255 nt
Filed under: uncultured bacterium
Lineage: Bacteria
Description: partial 16S ribosomal RNA
Rfam family: Bacterial small subunit ribosomal RNA
Source: RNAcentral